This is a non-coding RNA of Pelobates cultripes (western spadefoot toad), 297 nucleotides long. NCBI's taxonomy places the organism in Eukaryota, Metazoa, Chordata, Amphibia, Anura, Pelobatidae. The record is from the annotation of a GenBank genome assembly.
GGCUGUCUCUGUUUCACUGUAUUGGUGUGUGACUGUAACUGUGUGUGCGUCACACUCUGCCUGUGUGUGACUGUAAGCCUGUGUGUGUUUGAUUUUUCCAACAACGAUGCUGUAUCAAUCCCAAAGUGCCAGCAUGGACGUCCCCAACGCUUCCACCUGUCAUGGAGAAAGCUGUUUAUGGAACCCCGAGAUGGUCGGCUGUGAGCACGUCAAAGGCAGCGAGGGAGCUAUAAUCCUGCUGCUCUACUCCCUCCCUCGCCAUCUACUGAUGCCGGGAGCCGUGUGUGCGUAUGUCAG